UGCCAGCAGCCGCGGUAAGACGAAGGUGGCAACCGUUGUUCGGAAUCACUGGGCAUAAAGCGCACGUAGGCGGGCAAGUAAGUCGGGUGUGAAAUCCCUCGGCCCAACCGAGGAACUGCGCCCGAUACUGCUUGCCUUGAGGGCAGGAGGGGAUCGUGGAAUUCCUGGUGGAGCGGUGAAAUGCGUUGAUAUCAGGAGGAACACCGGCGGCGAAGGCGACGAUCUGGCCUGCUUCUGACGCUGAGGUGCGAAAGCUAGGGGAGCAAACAGGAUUAGAUA
Molecule: ribosomal RNA, 279 nt
Filed under: uncultured bacterium
Lineage: Bacteria
Description: partial 16S ribosomal RNA
Rfam family: Bacterial small subunit ribosomal RNA
Source: RNAcentral